Long non-coding RNA from Halichondria panicea, 1785 nucleotides. RefSeq lists it as uncharacterized. The transcript has 7 exons. NCBI's taxonomy places the organism in Eukaryota, Metazoa, Porifera, Demospongiae, Suberitida, Halichondriidae. The record is from RefSeq and is a predicted model, not a curated record.
GAGCUAUCACCAUCAUCAUCAUGAGUAUUUUUCCGUUGAGCCCAGUUCACAGAGCAGCACUGCAACUGCAAGUGGCUUGCCACCCUGUUUUGCUAAUUCACAAGCAGAACCUGGUUAGCAGCUGCAUGAUUUAAUUGUCACAACUCAAAACAAUGCAUUUUAUAGGACAUCUUCAAAUGAAGAUGUGGCUUAACCACCAGUACCCUCAAAGCAGCAGUACCCUCAUUUCUUUAGCCAGAUUGCGUUAGAAUCAAUCUCAGAGCAUGUAACAGCAAACAUUUUCUGGGGGAGUGCCCCCACCCCCAUUGGUAAUUCGUUCAUCAAGCACCCCCCUAUCUCAAAUCCUGGCUACGCCCCUGGUAAGCUUGUACUUUUUUGUGAUUGAAUUCUGCUUAUCUCACAGACUACUGCCUUUGACAAAGGUUUGCUCCCACUUGAUCAGUAUGCAUUAUUAACUGUGGACACCCCUUUGCUUUGAAACAAUCAAAGCACAUUGUAAAUUAUUUACCUCUUCUAUAACUACUUUUGAGCGAAAGCAAAAACAUGGCGAGAGGCUUGCAACACUCGUUGCAGCUGGUAUCCAUCAUUAUUAAGUGCGAAAGACGUUGUGUUCACGCUAGGGAAUGUGGAUGAAGCAGUGCUAGAAGAAGUACUACUUUUUGUUCUCAUCCAAGUCAUGCUUGUAAGUAUCCCGGGUGUAAGAGUGUCAUGGUUCUAGAUGGAAACAUAAAGAACCAUCGUGAUGUCUGUAAGGCUAGAGAUGCAGGCUAUACUGAGUACGAGGGACUUCCAGGAUCUAUUAAGACCGGGUGCAUGAAUACACCUUCUGUAAAAUACACCAAGUACGAAUUUGUGGUACAAAUAAUACACUGGACACAGAUGCUACCGCCCCUCCUGUCAGUGCAACAUAUAGUGAAGUAGUGGAGAGGAUUUUAGAGAAAAGGACUACAAGAAAUGCCAAUUACUACAAGAUACUAUGGGUAGGAAAGGAAGAAGUGUCUGCAUCUUGGGUACACGAAGACAUCAUUCCCCAAUCAGCCGUCACUGAAUUUCAAAGUGGUAUCAUGCCAGAAGUCCAUAUAGACGAAGAAUCGAGCUGUAAUCAGCUAUCGUUUACAGCUAAUGUGCAUGUCAGCUCAAACCAAGAAGAAAACAACAGUGUUGGAUAUCACUUAGCAACUCUGGAUAGUGCUCUGCUUCAAACUGAAGGUCUGAGCUGCAAUACAGAAAAGGACAAAGGAAAGAAGCUUAAUUAAUUAUCAUACAGCAGGGAUUAUAGCUGGGAUUUGGCCUUGCGGAGUUAUCACCAUGUUGUCAGAACUGUUCGUAGCUAAAUCCAAGAGCCAACUACUAUAGACGAAACUCAUCACAUCUAUUAACUCUGAAUUAUAUCUGCUGACGAUGGUUGCCAUUUACGAAAGUUUGCCAGAAAUCCUUCUAGGAAGGACCUCACUCAAACCGCCAAGGAACUAGCUACCCUGGAGAUAGUAGUCGACAAAAUGCACAUGGGUCACGUGGAUACAAAGUGCCAAGAGAAUUGUGAUGCUCGGAGGUUUGUGGAUCUGGAUGAAGUCGACACGGAGGUUUGUGAACAAACAUUUGCCUGCAUGGCUGUCAAGGUACAAGAAGAUAUCAAGGAAGAUGAACAGGCACCACUUCAUGUUUUAUUUGUUGUACAUUUGCAACUUGCACAACCAGAGCAAAAUUAAUCAACUCUGGCUUUUUCGUGCAUACAACUACGUAAUCGUUUUACAGUUACCUUUGAUAAUAUUAUCCAUGCAUGUG